This 208-nucleotide long non-coding RNA is filed under the name Parus major (Great Tit). RNAcentral's name for it is "lncRNA (ENSPMJG00000015488.1)". Lineage: Eukaryota; Metazoa; Chordata; Aves; Passeriformes; Paridae. The record is from RNAcentral.
GGCGCGUUUAAUGAUCCAGCGCUUUAGAGCGGCUCAGAGAGGAUCACUGUCAGCGCUCCCACUUAACACAAUUAUAACUGUUACUCUUCUUAGGUGUGUUGAUAUAAAGGACUGCUGACAUAGAUCACUGUCAGGGGUGUUUGCCAGCCUCCAUGCACAGGUCUCUGGGCUUUCUCUCCAUCUCCAGCAGCACCUGAACCUGGAUCAA